AGUCUAUUCUUGUUCUGAGAAAUGAAGGCUAUUCCAUGCGAGAAAUUGCCAAGAAACUGAAGAUCUCGUACACUGCUGUGUACUACUCCAUGAGGGCAGCUUCAUUAAAAACACCAGUCUCAACGUCAACAGUGAAGAGGCGACUCCAGGAUGCUGGCCUUCUAGGCAGAGUUCCUCUGUCCAGUCUCAACGUCAACAGUGAAGAGGUGACUCCAGGAUGCUGGCCUUCUAGACAGAGUUCCUCUGUCCAGUCUCAACGUCAACAGUGAAGAGGUGACUCCAGGAUGCUGGCCUUCUAGGCAGAGUUCCUCUGUCCAUUCUCAACGUCAACAGUGAAGAGGUGACUCCAGGAUGCUGGCCUUCUAGGCAGAGUUCCUCUGUCCAUUCUCAACGUCAACAGUGAAGAGGUGACUCCAGGAUGCUGGCCUUCUAGGCAGAGUUCCUCUGUCCAUUCUCAACGUCAACAGUGAAGAGGUGACUCCAGGAUGCUGGCCUUCUAGGCAGAGUUCCUCUGUCCAGUCUCAACGUCAACAGUGAAGAGGCGACUCCAGGAUGCUGGCCUUCUAGGCAGAGUUCCUCUGUCCAUUCUCAACGUCAACAGUGAAGAGGCAACUCCAGGAUGCUGGCCUUCUAGGCAGAGUUCCUCUGUCCAUUCUCAACGUCAACAGUGAAGAGGUGACUCCAGGAUGCUGGCCUUCUAGGCAGAGUUCCUCUGUCCAUUCUCAACGUCAACAGUGAAGAGGUGACUCCAGGAUGCUGGCCUUCUAGGCAGAGUUCCUCUGUCCAGUCUCAACGUCAACAGUGAAGAGGUGACUCCAGGAUGCUGGCCUUCUAGACAGAGUUCCUCUGUCCAGUCUCAACGUCAACAGUGAAGAGGUGACUCCAGGAUGCUGGCCUUCUAGGCAGAGUUCCUCUGUCCAGUCUCAACGUCAACAGUGAAGAGGUGACUCUGGGAUGCUGGCCUUCUAGACAGAGUUCCUCUGUCCAGUCUCAACGUCAACAGUGAAGAGGUGACUCCAGGAUGCUGGCCUUCUAGGCAGAGUUCCUCUGUCCAUUCUCAACGUCAACAGUGAAGAGGUGACUCCAGGAUGCUGGCCUUCUAGGCAGAGUUCCUCUGUCCAUUCUCAACGUCAACAGUGAAGAGGUGACUCCAGGAUGCUGGCCUUCUAGGCAGAGUUCCUCUGUCCAGUCUCAACGUCAACAGUGAAGAGGUGACUCCAGGAUGCUGGCCUUCUAGGCAGAGUUCCUCUGUCCAUUCUCAACGUCAACAGUGAAGA
Long non-coding RNA from Oncorhynchus keta (chum salmon), 1277 nucleotides. RefSeq lists it as uncharacterized. The record is from RefSeq and is a predicted model, not a curated record. Lineage: Eukaryota; Metazoa; Chordata; Actinopteri; Salmoniformes; Salmonidae. The transcript has 3 exons.